AUUGAACGCUGGCGGCAGGCCUAACACAUGCAAGUCGAACGGUAACAGGAAGAAGCUUGCUUCUUUGCUGACGAGUGGCGGACGGGUGAGUAAUGUCUGGGAAACUGCCUGAUGGAGGGGGAUAACUACUGGAAACGGUAGCUAAUACCGCAUAACGUCGCAAGACCAAAAAGGGGGACCUUCGGGCCUCUUGCCAUCGGAUGUGCCCAGAUGGGAUUAGCUAGUAGGUGGGGUAACGGCUCACCUAGGCGACGAUCCCUAGCUGGUCUGAGAGGAUGACCAGCCACACUGGAACUGAGACACGGUCCAGACUCCUACGGGAGGCAGCAGUGGGGAAUAUUGCACAAUGGGCGCAAGCCUGAUGCAGCCAUGCCGCGUGUAUGAA
RNAcentral lists this ribosomal RNA (385 nucleotides) under uncultured bacterium. RNAcentral's name for it is "bacterial SSU rRNA". It matches the Rfam family "Bacterial small subunit ribosomal RNA", at positions 30 to 409 of the family's 1533-position model. The record is from RNAcentral.